Molecule: long non-coding RNA, 1561 nt
Filed under: Chinchilla lanigera (long-tailed chinchilla)
Lineage: Eukaryota; Metazoa; Chordata; Mammalia; Rodentia; Chinchillidae
Description: lncRNA (ENSCLAG00000028894.1)
Source: RNAcentral
GCCUGGCCCAGCUGCCGCCACCGUGCACACUUCCCCAGAGGCGUUUGAUUAACUCAGUUUAUUUGUAAACAGAAGCGGUUGACAUUUAAUAAUGGAGAGGCCAAUGUAAGUGGCAACCCUUCCGAAUCUUGCAGGCUUACAAAAUUAAAAGCUGGUGCCUGACAAUGAGGGGGAGGGUCCAUUAUUCGGGGACACUGCCUCCAUGGCAACAGCCACAAGAAGCUGUCAUGCGCUUGGCCAGCGGCUGUCUGCACCAUAGCAAGGGGCGCAGGUGCAGCCAGUUGGCUGCCGUGGUGGGCAGUGGCGGGCAAGUGGCGCACCUGUGGUCAUGCCCCCGACUUGCAGUUUCUCAGCCAGGGUUGGUGCCUGCGGCCCAGGCAGCCCCAGCCUUGCUUGUCAGUGUCACUGCUUGCCCGUGGCCGUGGUGACCUUCCCUGCCCCAGCAAGCGCGGUCACCGCAUACUUUCCUCCAAGCGGUGGUCUGAGCCUCAGGAGUCUGGCCCGCCUUCUGCAGGCAGGAGGGGCGGAACCGAGGUGCAAGGAGAGGCUGUGGAGUCUGUUAUCCACCCCGAGCCAGGCUGGGUGACCCGAGGGACGCCGUCCCUACACGGAGACCUCCUUCCCGGCUGUCCAGUUGCGCAGCCCUGAACACAGCCGGCACAGGAGGGGCAGCCCCUCACUCUGAAUGCUGUCCGUGUGACUCUGUUUGACCUCACAGGGCCCUGUGAUGUCACAGCUGACAGCGGGCCUGCCUGGCUCAGGUUCCAAGGAGCAGUGGACGGGAGCAGGUGGCCAGUUCCUAGGACGAAGAAGUAGUUUCUGCUUGGAGGACACUGAGCGGGGCGGGGUGGCUAAGGGGACAGGUGGGGCACUGUGCCAUCUUGACUUACAGGAGGGCCUGGGCGUGGCCCUCUGCUGCCCAACCUGCUGGGUGUCCUGCCUCUGACUGCCGUGUCCCCUGCCGACUGCGACCAUGAGAUACGAGCCAGAACCCAAGAAGUCCCCACCCCACCUGCUGCAGAAGUUCGCAGUGUGUGACAUCCCCCUGUACAACAUCUGUGACUACAACGUCUCCCGGGACCGCUGCAAGGAGCUGGGGUGCUGCUUCUACAAGAGCGUCUGCUAUGAGAAGGCUAUGCCGAUCUACGUGCACCUGUCCUCCAUCUUGCUCGUGGUCAUCAUCGUUGCCUUGGUCAUCGCUCUCGUUAACAAGAUAGUCCAAGAGAGGAGGAAGCAGAAGGAGGCUGUUGAGGAGACGCUGCCCCCUGAGUCCAGCAGUGAGCCCGUCGAAGAAUCCCUGGCACCAACCGGUGGCUCUGUCUCCAAGAAGAGCGACGAGGGCGCGGAGGAAGGGGAGGAGGAAGUGCAGGAGGAGGAGGAGGACUGAUGUGUGCAGGAGGACGUGGAGUGCCCAGAACUGGCCCCGCACUGCGCAGCAAUGGCCCCUAGUGGGGCUGUGCGGAGGGGCCACCCAGUGAGGCAAAUAAAGGUAUUUUGAAAGUUGCUUCCGGCCUCAGUCCUGAGUUGCUUUAGUGAGUCAUUUUAGGAGUGGGUAAGCCAU